GCAGUCGAGCGAAUCGAUGGGAGCUUGCUCCCUGAGAUUAGCGGCGGACGGGUGAGUAACACGUGGGCAACCUGCCUAUAAGACUGGGAUAACUUCGGGAAACCGGAGCUAAUACCGGAUACGUUCUUUUCUCGCAUGAGAGAAGAUGGAAAGACGGUUUACGCUGUCACUUAUAGAUGGGCCCGCGGCGCAUUAGCUAGUUGGUGAGGUAAUGGCUCACCAAGGCGACGAUGCGUAGCCGACCUGAGAGGGUGAUCGGCCACACUGGGACUGAGACACGGCCCAGACUCCUACGGGAGGCAGCAGUAGGGAAUCUUCCGCAAUGGACGAAAGUCUGACGGAGCAACGCCGCGUGAACGAAGAAGGCCUUCGGGUCGUAAAGUUCUGUUGUUAGGGAAGAACAAGUACCAGAGUAACUGCUGGUACCUUGACGGUACCUAACCAGAAAGCCACGGCUAACUACGUGCCAGCAGCCGCGGUAAUACGUAGGUGGCAAGCGUUGUCCGGAAUUAUUGGGCGUAAAGCGCGCGCAGGUGGUUCCUUAAGUCUGAUGUGAAAGCCCACGGCUCAACCGUGGAGGGUCAUUGGAAACUGGGGAACUUGAGUGCAGAAGAGGAAAGUGGAAUUCCAAGUGUAGCGGUGAAAUGCGUAGAGAUUUGGAGGAACACCAGUGGCGAAGGCGACUUUC
This 688-nucleotide ribosomal RNA is filed under the name Bacillus sp. FJAT-4488. Its description in RNAcentral is "bacterial SSU rRNA". It matches the Rfam family "Bacterial small subunit ribosomal RNA", at positions 57 to 729 of the family's 1533-position model. The record is from RNAcentral. Lineage: Bacteria; Bacillati; Bacillota; Bacilli; Caryophanales; Bacillaceae.